GAAGGUGGCAAGCGUUGUUCGGAAUCACUGGGCUUAAAGAGCACGUAGGCGGAGCAGAAAGUGUCUUGUGAAAGACCCCCGGCUUAACCGGGGAAUUGCUUGGCAAACUUCUGUUCUUGAGGCAAGUAGGGGUACAUGGAACUCUUAGUGGAGCGGUGGAAUGCGUAGAUAUUAAGAGGAACGCCAAUGGUGAAGACAGUGUACUGGGCUUGUCCUGACGCUGAGGUGCGAAAGCGUGGGGAGCGAACGGGAUUAGAUACCCCGGUAGUCCACGCCGUAAACGAUGUCUACUAGGUUGUGGAGGUUCUGACACACUCACGACCGGAGCAAAAGUGUUAAGUAGACCGCCUGGGGAGUACGGUCGCAAGGCUA
This 372-nucleotide ribosomal RNA is filed under the name uncultured organism. RNAcentral describes it as "partial 16S ribosomal RNA". It matches the Rfam family "Bacterial small subunit ribosomal RNA", at positions 527 to 896 of the family's 1533-position model. The record is from RNAcentral.